UACGGAGGGAGCUAGCGUUAUUCGGAUUUACUGGGCGUAAAGGGCACGUAGGCGGUAUAACAAGUUGGAAGUGAAAGCCCAAGGCUCAACCUUGGAACUGCUUUCAAAACUGUUAAACUAGAGAUCGAUAGGGGACAGUGGAAUUCCUAGUGUAGAGGUGAAAUUCUUAGAUAUUAGGAGGAACACCGGAGGCGAAGGCGACUGUCUGGAUCGAUACUGACGCUGAGGUGCGAAAGCGUGGGGAGCAAAC
Molecule: ribosomal RNA, 250 nt
Filed under: uncultured bacterium
Lineage: Bacteria
Description: partial 16S ribosomal RNA
Rfam family: Bacterial small subunit ribosomal RNA
Source: RNAcentral